Molecule: transfer RNA, 47 nt
Filed under: Rikenellaceae bacterium
Lineage: Bacteria; Pseudomonadati; Bacteroidota; Bacteroidia; Bacteroidales; Rikenellaceae
Description: tRNA-Leu
Source: RNAcentral
GACUGUUAAUCAGGGGGUCGUAGGUUCAAGUCCUACAAGGGGAGCCA